This 328-nucleotide long non-coding RNA is filed under the name Gossypium raimondii (Peruvian cotton). RNAcentral's name for it is "long non-coding RNA (GRAI_LNC003478)". The record is from RNAcentral. Lineage: Eukaryota; Viridiplantae; Streptophyta; Magnoliopsida; Malvales; Malvaceae.
UUCUGAGUUUACUUUCUGUUUCUGCAUAUCUCUGUAAGUAUGUUUUGCUAUUAAACUGCCUUCCGGAGUUCUUUUCUGUAGAUCUGUUGUUAGUCGUUUUGAACCCACACUGAGCUCUUGUAGCUCACUCAUCUCAAUUUUCCUUUUUCAGGAUUUUAGUAUGCUGUUGCUGGACUCGACAUGUCGGACGUCUCGAAAGCAUCACGUUUCUUAAAAUUGGUUAAUAAAAUGUUUUCUGUAAAUCUAAGUUUUAUGUAAAUGAUUUUGGACUGUAAAUAAUUGUUUAAAAUACUAUAAUGUUUUUCUAUUUGUUAAACUAAAAUUUCCC